RNAcentral lists this ribosomal RNA (479 nucleotides) under uncultured bacterium. Its description in RNAcentral is "partial 16S ribosomal RNA". It matches the Rfam family "Bacterial small subunit ribosomal RNA", at positions 28 to 507 of the family's 1533-position model. The record is from RNAcentral.
GACGAACGCUGGCGGCGCGCUUAACACAUGCAAGUCGAGCGAUGAAAUUUCGACAGAUCCCUUCGGGGUGAAGAUGAAAUGGAUUAGCGGCGGACGGGGGAGUAACACGUGAGUAACCUGCCUUUGACAUUGGGAUAGCCUCGGGAAACUGGGAUUAAUACCAAAUGACACUAACUGAUCACAUGAUCAAUUAGUCAAAGAAAUUCGGUCAAAGAUGGACUCGCGGCUGAUUAGCUAGUUGGUGAGGUAACGGCCCACCAAGGCGACGAUCAGUAGCCGGCCUGAGAGGGUGAUCGGCCACAUUGGAACUGAGACACGGUCCAAACUCCUACGGGAGGCAGCAGUGGGGAAUAUUGCACAAUGGGGGAAACCCUGAUGCAGCGACGCCGCGUGAGCGAAGAAGGCCUUCGGGUCGUAAAGCUCUUUUAUGAGGGAAGAUAAUGACGGUACCUCAAGAAAAAGCCCCGGCUAACUACGUG